This is an RNA transcript of Siniperca chuatsi (mandarin fish), 2869 nucleotides long. RefSeq lists it as uncharacterized. Lineage: Eukaryota; Metazoa; Chordata; Actinopteri; Centrarchiformes; Sinipercidae. The transcript has 2 exons. The record is from RefSeq and is a predicted model, not a curated record.
ACAACCCUGCGUCAGAGUGGAGGGGCCUGCUGCAGGAGACUCCCCCACACCGGAGAAUCAGCAACUGGCUGACGACCUGAAGGUGUUUUACUGUAGGUUUGAUAAGCCCGCACUCACACCCAUCACCCACUCCGACAUUAAACGACCAUCUGCGCCCCUUGCCUGCCCCCCUCCCCACUGACGUAACAAAAGCCCUCCCUGGCUAAACGAACAUGAAGAAGAGAGCUCUACAGGUGUUCCACCAAAUGCUUAAAGGUUGCAUGAGGGAUUAUAAUGCUGACUCUGAUCUCCAGAAACCACCAUAAUUGUAGAAUCCUGUUUAGGACUACUGACUGUGCUGUUGGUGCCCCUCAAAACUGUGACAGAUAGGCUUCUCCUGAACUCUGUAACCGGUUUUUAACCCAUUUUAAAGACAAAGUCGAUUCCAUCAGAUCACCAUUCAACAGCAGUCAACCUCUCGCGGGAGCUCCUAAAUCUAGGAGAUUAGUUGAACCCACCCCAAGCCCAUCUACUGAAAGAGGUUCUUCCCACCAUUGGCCCUCACGUGUUGUGUUGCUAACAGCUCCCUGAACUCUGGGUCUUUUCCCGCCUCAUUUAAAAUGGCUUUGGUCUUUCCCCUAGACCCCACAGCUGUUAACAGCAAAUCGUGUGUGUCAUUCACUGAUCAGGAUGUUCAUGCGUUCAUCUCAUCACGUCUUAACUAAUGCUCCCAAAAGUCUCUCCAUUUUCUCCAAUUUAUAAAAAAUGCUGCAGCUCAGCUCUUAAAAGCCACAUUAGACCUAUUUAAGCUUCUUUGCAUUGGCUCUGUCUGUGGCCCUGUUUGGCACCUCCUUACAUCUCCGAGCUGCUCUCCCUUAUGACCAAACGCCCUGCCUGAGGCAAACUCUCUUAUCCGUUCCAAAGUCACGGCUAAAAACUGAAGGGGACUGUGCAUUUGCUGUCAGAGCCCCCAGACUUUGCCUCCCUGCCUGAGGAGAUCAGGCGUGCUGAAUCGGUGCCCCCAUUUGAAAUCACUCCUCAAAACACACUUGUAUAAAGCGGCUUUUAAUUCUUGAUUCCGAUGCUUUGAUCUUGGUUUUAUUUUGGUUUUUACUUUUACUUUUUGUCUGUUUGUUUAAUCCAUUGUAUUGUUUCUAUAUUCAUAUCUGUCUCUUUUCCCCAUGCCUUGUUUUUGCUUUGCUCUGUUUAAUGUAUGCACAGCACUGUAACUGCACUACAUCCUGCAACGCCUCGACUCCCCAGGGACAUAUGCAAGGAUCCAGUUUGUGGACUUCAGCUCGGCGUUCAACACCACCAUCCCAGACAUCCACCCAGCUCACUGUGCCAGCCCCCACCUGUCAGUGGAUCACAAACCUCCUGACAGACCGGAGGCAGCAGGUGAGGCUGAGGAAACUCACAUCCAGCACCGGGACAAUGGGCACUGGCGCCCCCCAGCGCUGUGUGCUCUCCCCACUGCUCUUCUCCCUCUACACCAACGACUGCACCUCAGGAGACCAGACUGUCAAACUCCUGAAGUUUGCAGACGACACAACGGUCAUCGGCCUCAUCCGGGACGGGGACGAGUCUGCAUACAGACGGGGGGUUGGACAGCCGGCCCUCUGGUGCGGUCAGAACAACCUGGAGCUGACCACACUCCACUGCCCCCCCAUCACCAUAUCCAACAACAUGGUGUCUGCUGUGGAAGCCUUCAGGUUUCUGGGAUCCACAAUCUCCCCGGACCUAAAGUGGGGCGUCCAACAUCGACACCAUCAUCAAAAAGGCCCAGCAGAGGACGUCCUUCCUGUUCCGGCUCAGGAGGUUCAACCGGCCUCAGGAGCUGCUGAUCCAGUUCUCCUCUGCACAUCUGUCACCGUCUGGUUUGGAUCGGCCACCAGACGAGAAAAAAAAUCCUCGGUGCCGACCUGCCCCCCAUUCAGGACUUAAACGCGUCCAGAGUCAGGAAACGGACAGGAAACGUCACUGCAGACCCAUCACACCCCGAACACAACCUGUUCCACCUUCUCCCCUCUGGGAGGCGCCACAGAGCCCUCUGCUCAGCCACAACAGAUCAUCUGUUUCCAUCUCGCUGGCAACCCGGUAUCCGCAUAUUUGAUUUGGUAUAGGCUUUUUACGCUGGACCUCCUUCCUGACAGAACCCUCCCCAUUUAUCCGGGCUUAGGACCGGCAAUUAGGAACGCACUGGCUUAGGCAUCCCCAGUGGCUGUGGAGCAACCCGGGGUUCAGUGUCUUGCCCAAGCAUCAGUAGAGGACCCGCUCUACCAGCCGUGCCACAGCCGCCCUACAAAUGAUGUAUUUACAGUUUUAAAUACACACUGUGCUUUAACAUGUACAUAUCAUCUAUUAUCAAAUAUGUAAACAUGUAUACAUGCAUACACUGUACAAAAGCACCCACUUCUUGUGUAUAAAGUAAUCUAGUACUUUACCCAUUCAGUAUGUAUAGUCAAAUACAUGACGGCUGAAUUCCAUUUAGCUGCUUCAGUUUCAGGGUCCUGGUGCUGUGCAUGCUGGCUCACUGUCACCCUUGCUGCAUGACUAGCAGCGCGUUUUAGAUGUUAUCGUCCUCUCUGUUAACUUGUUUUUAAUGAAUCAAUCCAUAAAUUACAGGAAGUGAUUAAGCGUCUUUUAGCUCACAGUUUUGGCUUUAUGGCACAUUUACUGUAUGGUUCAGUCUCAACGCUCUUAUCAGCCAGCAGCAGACACUACCUGCUGUGACAGACAAGAUACUGGCGCCAGAUAUUGUUCUCAGGAGCUGGUGGAGGCCAAACCAGAGCGAAAAGGGGAGUGAAUGUUGGACUUACAGCGAUCAGGUGGCCAGAAACACGACUGGGAUGAUAAUGCUGCUCUGCUGGAUGUGGAAUUAGGCAGCUGC